This 313-nucleotide unclassified non-coding RNA is filed under the name plant metagenome. Its description in RNAcentral is "partial contains 5.8S ribosomal RNA, internal transcribed spacer 2, and large subunit ribosomal RNA". The stretch from base 1 to 105 matches the Rfam family "5.8S ribosomal RNA", at positions 50 to 154 of the family's 154-position model. The record is from RNAcentral.
GAAAUGCGAUAAUUAAUGUGAAUUGCAGAAUUCAGUGAAUCAUCGAGUCUUUGAACGCACAUUGCGCCCCCUGGUAUUCCGGGGGGCAUGCCUGUCCGAGCGUCAUUGCUGCCCUCAAGCACGGCUUGUGUGUUGGGCUUCCGUCCUGGCAACGGGGACGGGCCCAAAAGGCAGUGGCGGCACCAUGUCUGGUCCUCGAGCGUAUGGGGCUUUGUCACCCGCUCCCGUAGGUCCAGCUGGCAGCUAGCCUCGCAACCAAUCUUUUUAACCAGGUUGACCUCGGAUCAGGUAGGGAUACCCGCUGAACUUAAGC